AGAACGAACGCUGGCGGCAUGCCUAAUACAUGCAAGUCGAACGAACUCUUCGGAGUUAGUGGCGCACGGGUGCGUAACGCGUGGGAAUCUGCCCCUUGGUUCGGAAUAACAGUUGGAAACGACUGCUAAUACCGGAUGAUGACGAAAGUCCAAAGAUUUAUCGCCAAGGGAUGAGCCCGCGUAGGAUUAGCUAGUUGGUGAGGUAAAGGCUCACCAAGGCAACGAUCCUUAGCUGGUCUGAGAGGAUGAUCAGCCACACUGGGACUGAGACACGGCCCAGACUCCUACGGGAGGCAGCAGUAGGGAAUAUUGGACAAUGGGCGAAAGCCUGAUCCAGCAAUGCCGCGUGAGUGAUGAAGGCCUUAGGUUGUAAAGCUCUUUUACCCGAGAUGAUAAUGAACAGUAAUCGGAGAAUAAGCCCCGCUAACUCCGUGCCAGCAGCCG
RNAcentral lists this ribosomal RNA (444 nucleotides) under uncultured soil bacterium. RNAcentral's name for it is "bacterial SSU rRNA". It matches the Rfam family "Bacterial small subunit ribosomal RNA", at positions 26 to 517 of the family's 1533-position model. The record is from RNAcentral.